Telopea speciosissima is the source of this 687-nucleotide long non-coding RNA. RefSeq lists it as uncharacterized. NCBI's taxonomy places the organism in Eukaryota, Viridiplantae, Streptophyta, Magnoliopsida, Proteales, Proteaceae. The transcript is spliced from 4 exons. The record is from RefSeq and is a predicted model, not a curated record.
AGAAAAGAACUACCUUUUCUGUAUACUUUAUACUUUCCCCAGUUCCGUUGCUACCCCGGGUCUUACGCAAUCGAUCGCAUCAUAUAGAUAUCCCUUCAACACAACAUAGGUCAUCGAAAGGAUCUCGGACGACUCACCAAAGCACGAAAGCCAGGAUCUUUCUUUCAGAAAAUGGAUUCCUAUUCGAAGAGUGCAUAACCGCAUAGAUAAACUCACACUAACCCGUCAAUUUGGGACCCAAUUCGGGAUUUUCCUUGGGAGGUAUCAGGAAAGAAUUGGAAUGUAAUAAUAUCGAUUCAUACACAAGAAAGGGUUCUCUAUUGAUUCAAACACUGUACCUAUGGGAUAGGGAUAGAGGAAGAGGAAAAAACCGAGGAUUUCACAUAGUACUUUUGAUCGAAAAAUCAAUCUGAUUUAUUUCGUACCCUUCGCUCGAUGAGAAAAUGGGUCAGAUUCUACAGGAUCAGAUCAAACCUAUGGGACUUAAGGAAUGAUGGAAGGGAAAAAGAAAAGAGAGCGAAAGAAAAUAGAAAGAAAGAAUAAAAGAAAAUAAAUCAAAAAGAAAAAAGAAAGAAGAACCCAGAUUCCAAAUGAACAAAUUCAAACUCGAAAAGGAACUUUCUGAUUCUCGAAGAAUGAGGGGCAAAGGGAUUGAUCGAGAAAGAUCUCUUCUUCUUAUUAACAGAU